GCCUUGUAUUAGUGUAAUUUGAAACUAUCACACGUUUUGAGGACGUGACAAGGCAU
RNAcentral lists this non-coding RNA (56 nucleotides) under Ligilactobacillus salivarius. Its description in RNAcentral is "salivarius-1 RNA". It matches the Rfam family "salivarius-1 RNA". From Rfam's summary of the family: Lactobacillus salivarius (Firmicutes). Lineage (Lactobacillaceae) is an non-coding RNA (ncRNA) detected by Zasha Weinberg by a bioinformatic analysis on metagenomic dataset. The record is from RNAcentral. RNAcentral also lists the same sequence under 1 other name. Lineage: Bacteria; Bacillati; Bacillota; Bacilli; Lactobacillales; Lactobacillaceae.